RNAcentral lists this ribosomal RNA (491 nucleotides) under uncultured bacterium. RNAcentral describes it as "partial 16S ribosomal RNA". It matches the Rfam family "Bacterial small subunit ribosomal RNA", at positions 29 to 507 of the family's 1533-position model. The record is from RNAcentral.
GUGAACGCUGGCGGUAGGCCUAACACAUGCAAGUCGCACGGCAGCACAGUAAGAGCUUGCUCUUACGGGUGGCGCGUGGCGGACGGGUGAGGAAUACAUCGGAAUCUACUUUUUAGUGGGGGAUAACGUAGGGAAACUUACGCUAAUACCGCAUACGACCUACGGGUGAAAGCAGGGGAUCUUCGGACCUUGCGCGAUUGAAUGAGCCGAUGUCGGAUUAGCUAGUUGGCGGGGUAAAGGCCCACCAAGGCGACGAUCCGUAGCUGGUCUGAGAGGAUGAUCAGCCACACUGGAACUGAGACACGGUCCAGACUCCUACGGGAGGCAGCAGUGGGGAAUAUUGGACAAUGGGCGCAAGCCUGAUCCAGCCAUACCGCGUGGGUGAAGAAGGCCGUCGGGUUGUAAAGCCCUUUUGUUGGGAAAGAAAAGCAGCAGGUUAAUACCCCGCUGUUCUGACGGUACCCAAAGAAUAAGCACCGGCUAACUUCGUG